RNAcentral lists this ribosomal RNA (253 nucleotides) under uncultured bacterium. Its description in RNAcentral is "partial 16S ribosomal RNA". It matches the Rfam family "Bacterial small subunit ribosomal RNA", at positions 524 to 776 of the family's 1533-position model. The record is from RNAcentral.
UACGUAGGGGGCUAGCGUUGUCCGGAAUCAUUGGGCGUAAAGAGCGUGUAGGCGGUCCGGUAAGUCCGCUGUGAAAGUCGGGGGCUCAACCCUCGAAUGCCGGUGGAUACUGUCGGGCUAGAGUGCGGAAGAGGCGAGUGGAAUUCCUGGUGUAGCGGUGAAAUGCGCAGAUAUCAGGAGGAACACCUAUUGCGAAGGCAGCGCGCUGGGACGUAACUGACGCUGAGACGCGAAAGCGUGGGGAGCAAACGGG